This 378-nucleotide ribosomal RNA is filed under the name uncultured bacterium. RNAcentral describes it as "bacterial SSU rRNA". It matches the Rfam family "Bacterial small subunit ribosomal RNA", at positions 521 to 896 of the family's 1533-position model. The record is from RNAcentral.
UAAUACGGAGGGUGCGAGCGUUGUCCGGAAUCACUGGGCGUAAAGGGCGCGUAGGUGGCUUGGCAAGCGUGUGGUGAAAGCCCGGGGCUCAACCCCGGGUCUGCCGUGCGAACUGCUAUGGCUUGAGCACUGUAGAGGCAGACGGAAUUCCGGGUGUAGCGGUGGAAUGCGUAGAGAUCCGGAGGAAGACCGGUGGCGAAGGCGGUCUGCUGGGCAGUUUCUGACACUGAGGCGCGACAGCGUGGGGAGCAAACAGGAUUAGAUACCCUGGUAGUCCACGCCGUAAACGAUGGGUACUAGGUGCCUGGGGGAGCGACCCUCUGGGUGCCGGCGCUAACGCAGGAAGUACCCCGCCUGGGGAGUACGACCGCAAGGUUG